UUUAAGUAUUGCUGUGAGUUUUUUAUUCAGCAUUUGACCGUUCGUCUUAUUUGAAAAAAAUUUUAUGAUUAGUAUUUUUAUUGUUUUUAGAUGAUAAAACGUGAAUAAUAUGUGACGCAUGACUUUUUUUAUUUUUUUAUAUUUCUUGUAAAUAAUACGGGUGAUUAAACGUUAGACACGAAACCCACGACUACACUCAAA
RNAcentral lists this microRNA precursor (201 nucleotides) under Oryza rufipogon (brownbeard rice). RNAcentral's name for it is "MIR812 microRNA precursor family". It matches the Rfam family "MIR812 microRNA precursor family". Lineage: Eukaryota; Viridiplantae; Streptophyta; Magnoliopsida; Poales; Poaceae. The record is from Rfam by way of RNAcentral.